RNAcentral lists this ribosomal RNA (265 nucleotides) under uncultured archaeon. RNAcentral's name for it is "partial 16S ribosomal RNA". It matches the Rfam family "Archaeal small subunit ribosomal RNA", at positions 716 to 982 of the family's 1478-position model. The record is from RNAcentral.
AGUCACUGACAUUAGAUACCCGCGUAGUCCCAGCCGUAAACAAUGUGCGUUAGGUGUGUCGGUAACCACGCGUUACUGAUGCGCCGAAGAGAAAUCGUGAAACGCACCACCUGGGAAGUACGGUCGCAAGGCUGAAAACUUAAAGGAAUUGGCGGGGAGCACCACAACAGGUGGAGCCUGCGGUUUAAUUGGAUUCAACGCCGGACAUCUCACCGGAUAAGACAGCUGAAUGAUUGUCAAUCUGAAGGUUUUACAUGACUAGCUG